GAUGAACGCUGGCGGCGUGCUUAACACAUGCAAGUCGAACGAAGAUGCCGGAGUGCUUGCACUUUGGCAGACUGAGUGGCGGACGGGUGAGUAACGCGUGGGUAACCUGCCUUAUACAGGGGGAUAACAGUUGGAAACGACUGCUAAUACCGCAUAAGCGCACGGUAUCGCAUGAUACAGUGUGAAAAACUCCGGUGGUAUGAGAUGGACCCGCGUCUGAUUAGCUAGUUGGUGGGGUAACGGCCUACCAAGGCGACGAUCAGUAGCCGACCUGAGAGGGUNACCGGCCACAUUGGGACUGAGACACGGUCCAAAACUCCUACGGGAGGCAGCAGUGAGGAAUAUUGGUCAAAUGGACGAGAGUCUG
RNAcentral lists this ribosomal RNA (367 nucleotides) under uncultured bacterium. RNAcentral describes it as "bacterial SSU rRNA". It matches the Rfam family "Bacterial small subunit ribosomal RNA", at positions 28 to 385 of the family's 1533-position model. The record is from RNAcentral.